UGGUUAAAAAUAAAAAAGAAGAAGAAAAGAUGAACAGUAGAAAAUUUGCAAAACACAAAAAGAAAGGAGGAAGAAAACUUUUCGGCCAAAAAUUCUAUUCUGGCCAAAUUCCUCAAGUUAAUGCCCAUAUCCUCCAAAACACUCCCCUCAAUCCAUAAUCCCUAAAAUCUCUCCCCCAAACCGUCCACUACUUCCCUAUUACACCUCAAAUGCUC
This 215-nucleotide long non-coding RNA is filed under the name Gossypium barbadense (sea-island cotton). Its description in RNAcentral is "long non-coding RNA (GBAR_LNC014344)". Lineage: Eukaryota; Viridiplantae; Streptophyta; Magnoliopsida; Malvales; Malvaceae. The record is from RNAcentral.